RNAcentral lists this ribosomal RNA (459 nucleotides) under uncultured bacterium. RNAcentral's name for it is "partial 16S ribosomal RNA". It matches the Rfam family "Bacterial small subunit ribosomal RNA", at positions 338 to 795 of the family's 1533-position model. The record is from RNAcentral.
CCUACGGGAGGCAGCAGUGAGGAAUAUUGGUCAAUGGGCGCGAGCCUGAACCAGCCAAGUCGCGUGAGGGAAGACGGUCCUAUGGAUUGUAAACCUCUUUUGUCGGGGAGCAAAAGACGCCACGCGUGGCGUUCCGAGAGUACCCGAAGAAAAAGCAUCGACUAACUCCGUGCCAGCCGCCGCGGUAAUACGGAGGAUGCGAGCGUUAUCCGGAUUUAUUGGGUUUAAAGGGUGCGCAGGCGGAAGAUCAAGUCAGUGGUAAAAUUGAGAGGCUCAACCUCUUCGAGCCGUUGAAACUGGUUUUCUUGAGUGAGUGAGAAGUAUGAGGAAUGCGUGGUGGAGCGGUGAAAUGCAUAGAUAUCACGCAGAACUCCGAUUGCGAAGGCAGCAUACCGGCGCUCAACUGACGCUCAUGCACGAAAGUGUGGGUAUCGAACAGGAUUAGAUACCCCAGUAGUC